RNAcentral lists this long non-coding RNA (251 nucleotides) under Bos taurus (domestic cattle). RNAcentral describes it as "long non-coding RNA NONBTAT026325". Lineage: Eukaryota; Metazoa; Chordata; Mammalia; Artiodactyla; Bovidae. The record is from RNAcentral.
GGGACAAGAAGUGGUAGAGGUAGGUUUCUGGGCCUCCUGCUCAUUCACAGCUCAGGGUGGAAGGUGAACCUGCCUGGGGCCGCAGUGAGUAUCCAUCUCUACUUUCCAGCUUUAGACCCUAAUUCUGGAUGAUAGACCCAGGGUUUUAGUCCUGGAAGCACACAUCCUGCGGCAGGCACUGGAUCUGGUGAUUGACAUGGGUUGUCUUGUUGACCUUUGCACAGGGACCAUACGUGGGAAUGGGCCCUCUG